UGGUGGGGAAAGAAAUGCCAAGGAAAAAGCAGUGGUACUCAUUUCACAUGGAAAUCUAUGUUCACAUGGUACAAUAGGGCCUACC
This is a long non-coding RNA of Juglans microcarpa x Juglans regia, 85 nucleotides long. RefSeq lists it as uncharacterized. The record is from RefSeq and is a predicted model, not a curated record. The transcript is spliced from 2 exons. NCBI's taxonomy places the organism in Eukaryota, Viridiplantae, Streptophyta, Magnoliopsida, Fagales, Juglandaceae.